CCUCCUGGGCCUGCUGGGGCGAGAUGAAGUGGAUGUGGCUGUCGAUGCCGCCGGCGGUGGCGAUCAGGUGCUCGCCGGAGAUCACCUCGGUGCCGGGCCCGAUCACCAGCUUGGGGUCCACGCCGUUCUGCACAUGGGGGUUGCCGGCCUUGCCGACCCCGACGAUCAGGCCGUCGCGGACGCCGAUGUCGCCCUUGACGACGCCCAGGACCGGGUCGAGGACCACGACGUUGGUGAUCACCAGGUCGAGGGCGCCCUCGCGGUUGAGCGCGGCGGGGUCCUGGGCCAUGCCGUCGCGGAUG
Small RNA from Streptomyces sp. F-1, 302 nucleotides. It matches the Rfam family "5' ureB small RNA". The record is from Rfam. NCBI's taxonomy places the organism in Bacteria, Bacillati, Actinomycetota, Actinomycetes, Kitasatosporales, Streptomycetaceae.